CGGCAGCCAGAGUGGUGAUCACUAUUAUUGGGUCUAAAGGGUCCGUAGCCGGUUUGAUCAGUCUUUUGGGAAAACUGACAGCUUAACUGUUAGCCUUCCAAAGGAUACUGUCAGACUUGGGACCGGGAGAGGUAAGAGGUACUACAGGGGUAGGAGUGAAAUCUUGUAAUCCCUGUGGGACCACCAGUGGCGAAGGCGUCUUACCAGAACGGGUCCGACGGUGAGGGACGAAAGCUGGGGGCACGAACCGGAUUAGAUACCCGAGUAGUCC
RNAcentral lists this ribosomal RNA (271 nucleotides) under uncultured archaeon. RNAcentral describes it as "partial 16S ribosomal RNA". It matches the Rfam family "Archaeal small subunit ribosomal RNA", at positions 477 to 747 of the family's 1478-position model. The record is from RNAcentral.